UGUGUACUCCCUCCAUUCCAAAAUACUUGACUUCCAUUUGUCCAAAAAUGGAUGUACCUAUAUACUAAGACAUGUCUAGAUACAUAUAUAUUUUGACAAAUAGAAGGCAUGUAUUGUGCAACGGAGGGAGUAGAAU
This is a non-coding RNA of Triticum aestivum (bread wheat), 136 nucleotides long. The record is from Rfam. NCBI's taxonomy places the organism in Eukaryota, Viridiplantae, Streptophyta, Magnoliopsida, Poales, Poaceae.